GACGAACGCUGGCGGCGUGCUUAACACAUGCAAGUCGAACGGAAAGGCCCUGCUUUUGUGGGGUGCUCGAGUGGCGAACGGGUGAGUAACACGUGAGUAACCUGCCCUUGACUUUGGGAUAACUUCAGGAAACUGGGGCUAAUACCGGAUAGGAGCUCCUGCUGCAUGGUGGGGGUUGGAAAGUUUCGGCGGUUGGGGAUGGACUCGCGGCUUAUCAGCUUGUUGGUGGGGUAGUGGCUUACCAAGGCUUUGACGGGUAGCCGGCCUGAGAGGGUGACCGGCCACAUUGGGACUGAGAUACGGCCCAGACUCCUACGGGAGGCAGCAGUGGGGAAUAUUGCACAAUGGGCGGAAGCCUGAUGCAGAAACGCCGCGUGCGGGAUGACGGCCUUCGGGUUGUAAACCGCUUUCGCCUGUGAGGAAGCGUGAGUGACGGUAAUGGGUAAAGAAGCACCGGCUAACUACGUG
Molecule: ribosomal RNA, 468 nt
Filed under: uncultured bacterium
Lineage: Bacteria
Description: partial 16S ribosomal RNA
Rfam family: Bacterial small subunit ribosomal RNA
Source: RNAcentral